Molecule: long non-coding RNA, 2915 nt
Organism: Homo sapiens (human)
Lineage: Eukaryota; Metazoa; Chordata; Mammalia; Primates; Hominidae
Product: long intergenic non-protein coding RNA 2693
Source: Ensembl
GGGGCAUGCGCUGUGCGCCCGGCCGGCGUGGCUGGCUGUUUGAGGACUGCGCGCGGAGCUCCGUGGCGGGUGUCUGAAGUCGUGAGUUUACUGCUUGUAAGGAACAUAGCGAUCACUGGGAACCUGGAAGUAGAGACUCCUUUCUGCCAUCCAUCCGUCCCUCGGGCUGCUGCGAAUCCCCCCGCCGGCCUCCAGGACCCCGGGCUGACUGAACGCCCGCACCGGUCCCGCCGCCCCAGGGCCCGCUACGCGCCCGGCAUAAUGGGAGAAAAAUCACGACGGAAAGGCCCAGCCCCUCGCCAUGCAGACGGGAAGCUUGGCCGCACGUGUGAUCACCCUUACGCCCCUUGGAGUUUCACCCCCUCUUCGCGGGCUCCAACAGCCUGGGUCAGGCCUCCUUGUCCUGUGUGGGCCUCUCGGCUGCAAGAACACAGUCCCGAGCCCCGGCGAGCCCGCGCGCCUCCCACCCGCCGUGCACAGGCUGCACUUUACGCCCCAGCACUGCGCCUGCGGGACCAUCUGGAUCGCUUUUCCAUUCUGAUGACGUCCUGUACUUCGUGGCUGCAGGCUCCUCAAGCCCCAGGUCUGUGCAGAGACGAGCAAAGCAGCAGAAUAUCCGUGCCACAGCUUUCUGGAGCACCCAUUUUACUACCAGAUUUGGAAGGAACGAAGUUAAGUAAUUUCCAAGAAUCAUCUCCCCUGCCCCACAAACAUGAAAGAAAAGACAAGAGAAGCACCCCAGAAGAGGAGGGGAGAAGUGCCCCAGAAAAAAUCAUCCAGUCUCUGAAGCUUUGCCCAGAAACUAUGAAAAUACAUUGCAAGAAUGCAACAUGCAGCACAGCAGAGAAGGGGCUGUCUGCAAAGAUAAAGGGCUGGAGGGAAGUUUUCUAAGGUUGUGCUGGACGGCGCUAUGUGCAGGCCUCCCCCGACGCCCUUCUCUCCUCGCCUUUCCCCCUUCUCCUCUCCCAAAUUCUAGUUGCCCAUCUGCUUGGUUGGGCUGCUGGUCGAUCUGAUCAGCUUUCUGAGGCCACAUCAAAACUGCAGAAAUGAGGCUGAUCGACCCAGCAACUCUAACAAAGAUCAUCCAUGGGACAUCUGGUCGCCCCUCUAUCUCGGAGCCAGAGGCUAUACGCUCUUCCCCGGUGGGGAGGGUGGGGCCCCAAAGUCCAACCACAAGAUCCCAUUAUGCGGGCCACGGCUAAAUCCACUGCGCCUUCCCCGUUUUUCUCGUACUGCCCAAGCCAGUCUCCACCUCCAAAACAAGACUCAGAAAAAGGUGUGAAGCUCAAGUCGGAUGACCAUGACCCACGCGUGGCCACGGACGGGCCCAUGCUACCCUUCGCAGUCCUCCUGGAACAGCCGGGCCGGUCCUCACCUCCGGGUCGGGGCUUGGAGAUAAUGGGUGUAAUGGAAGGCCUGAGGACCGGGCCCCACGCCAGUCAGCGUCCGGGCGGGAUACCCCAUCCCCCGUUCACACUCUCGGAAGGCCCAGCGAUUCCCGCGUGUACUAAUUGACCCGCUCAGGCCACAGCACUCCGAGCUCAAGAGCGCGCCUACAACGCUGACCCUCAGGUUUAAUCUCCGACGAAAGGACGAAGAGUACACCCAGCAAAGCCGGGCUCAUCCUGCCAGCGCUGCCAGUCCCCUGGAACUCUGCACCGCGCCCUGUGGCCAAAUCCCCUUUCUUGCCGGCUUCGCCAGAGCGCCGGAGAGAAAACCUUAACAGUGCAGCCAGGUGGCGCCCGACAGCCGGCGCCAGCGGCCGCGGAUCGGAUCCGCAUCUCCGGCGGGCGAGGCCUCUCCUAGUCCCUGACCAACUGGGAUCGCGUUUCUCGGCCUGGGGCGGGUGAAGGAGCUCCCAGUUGGCACCGCCUGGAAUGGCGCGACCCCGCAGCCGAAGGAGACUUGAAAAUUUUUCCUAACUACCGUUCUGCUCCGAGUGACUGCUACCUGCGAGGACAGACAGCCCACGCGGCUCCGGGCCGGGCGAUCUUCCGCGGGAACCGGGAACGUUUCCGAAGACCCCCGCAGGCCGGCGCCCUGCCUCGGCUUCCCAGCGCAGCGGGGUCCCGGGCUCCUCGCGGAUUAGAAAGUUUUGCUGGGCUCUGGCGGCGGGAGAGACAGUGAAGUUGAAACCGUGAAAGGGAGAACAUGGGUGAAUCGCUUUUAUUCUGUCUUUUCGGAAUGGGGAAGCCUUUCUAAAGCAUUAAAUAAACCCAGAAGCCAUCAAGGAAAUGAUUGAUCGGCUUGACAACAUAAAGUUUGAACAAAAUACACAAGCAAAGUCAAAAGAUAACAAAUGAGUGUGGGGAUCGCUUAUGCAUAAGAUAAGAAUAUUGAUUUCAUUCACAGUAGCCAAGAUACGGAAGCAACCUAGCCAAGAUAUGGAAGCAUCUACUAGUGGCUGAACGGAUAAAGAAAAUGUGGUGUAUGUACACCACGGGGUACUGUCCCGCCUUUGAAUAAAAGGAAAUCCUGCCAUUGGCGACAACAUGGAUGAACGUGGAGGUCAUUGUACUAAGAAAAGUAAGCCAGGCACAGAAACAAAUACCACCUGGUCUCUCCUGUAUGUGGAAUCUGAAAAUAGUUGAACUCAUAGAAACGGAGAGUAGAACGGUGGCUACUUGAGGCCGGGGGAAGGGCAGGAGGGGGAAGAUGUUAGUCAAAGGGUACAAGGAUUCAGUUAGACAAGAGGAAUAUGUUUUAGUGAUCCACAUGGCACGGUGACUGUAGUUAAUGCAUUUUAUAUGUCAAAAUUCCUUAAAUAGUAGAUUUUAAAUAAUCUCACCACAAAAAAAUAGAUGUGUUGGUGAUGGAUAUCUUAAUUAGCUUAAAGUAAUUGUUCCACCAAUGUAUACAUAUAUCAAAACAUCACAUUGUAUCCCAUGAAUAUAUACAAUUAUGAUUUGUCAAUU